This 429-nucleotide ribosomal RNA is filed under the name bacterium. Its description in RNAcentral is "partial 16S ribosomal RNA". It matches the Rfam family "Bacterial small subunit ribosomal RNA", at positions 355 to 776 of the family's 1533-position model. The record is from RNAcentral.
UAGGGAAUCUUCCACAAUGGACGCAAGUCUGAUGGAGCAACGCCGCGUGAGUGAAGAAGGUUUUCGGAUCGUAAAGCUCUGUUGUUGGUGAAGAAGGAUAGAGGCAGUAACUGGUCUUUAUUUGACGGUAAUCAACCAGAAAGUCACGGCUAACUACGUGCCAGCAGCCGCGGUAAUACGUAGGUGGCAAGCGUUGUCCGGAUUUAUUGGGCGUAAAGCGAGCGCAGGCGGAAUGAUAAGUCUGAUGUGAAAGCCCACGGCUCAACCGUGGAACUGCAUCGGAAACUGUCAUUCUGGAGUGCAGAAGAGGAGAGUGGAAUUCCAUGUGUAGCGGUGGAAUGCGUAGAUAUAUGGAAGAACACAAGUGGCGAAGGCGGCUCUCUGGUCUGCAACUGACGCUGAGGCUCGAAAGCAUGGGUAGCGAACAGG